GCCGGGCCUGUAGUCCCAGCUACUCGGGAGGCUGAGGCAGGACGAUCGCUUGAGUCCAGGAGUUCUGGGCUGUAGUGCGCUAUGCCGAUCGGGUGUCCGCACUAAGUUCAGCACCAUAUGGUGACCUCCUGGGAGUGGGGGACCACCAGGUUGCCUAAGGAGGGGUGAACUGGCCCGGGUCAGAAACGGAGCAGGUCAAAACUCCCAUGCUGACCAAAAGCAGUUCUUCUCAAACUCGUUUAGGAACCCCCAGGUGAUCUUGUUAAAUGUGUUUUCUGACUGA
Molecule: signal recognition particle RNA, 283 nt
Filed under: Ursus maritimus (polar bear)
Lineage: Eukaryota; Metazoa; Chordata; Mammalia; Carnivora; Ursidae
Description: Metazoan signal recognition particle RNA (ENSUMAG00000024282.1)
Rfam family: Metazoan signal recognition particle RNA
About the family: The signal recognition particle (SRP) is a universally conserved ribonucleoprotein. It is involved in the co-translational targeting of proteins to membranes.
Source: RNAcentral